CUUAUUUACAGUGGUUGUCACUG
This 23-nucleotide non-coding RNA is filed under the name Arabidopsis thaliana (thale cress). The record is from RNAcentral. Lineage: Eukaryota; Viridiplantae; Streptophyta; Magnoliopsida; Brassicales; Brassicaceae.